This 458-nucleotide ribosomal RNA is filed under the name uncultured bacterium. RNAcentral's name for it is "partial 16S ribosomal RNA". It matches the Rfam family "Bacterial small subunit ribosomal RNA", at positions 28 to 507 of the family's 1533-position model. The record is from RNAcentral.
GACGAACGCUGGCGGCGUGCUUCAUACAUGCAAGUCGAACGAGAAGCUGACUUCGGUCAGUGGAAAGUGGCGGACGGGUGAGUAAUAUGUAGGAAAUCUGCCUUUAGGAGGGGGACAACAGAGGGAAACUUCUGCUAAUACCCCAUAUGAGCGUAGCUGAAAUGCUAUUCUUGAAAACUCCGGUGCCUAAAGAUGAGCCUGCAUCUGAUUAGCUAGUUGGUAGUGUAAUGGACUACCAAGGCGACGAUCAGUAGCUGGUUUGAGAGGAUGAUCAGCCACAAUGGGACGGAGACACGGCCCAUACUCCUACGGGAGGCAGCAGUAGGGAAUUUUGCGCAAUGGGCGAAAGCCGGACGCAGCAACGCCGCGUGAACGAUUAAGCCCUUCGGGGUGUAAAGUUCUGUCAGUGGGGACGAAACUUGACGGUACCCACAGAGGAAGCACCGGCUAACUCCGUG